GCAGCCAAGCCCAUCAGACUAAGGGUGUCUUAGCCUUAAAAGGGGCUUUUCUAAAAUCAGAUCUUUCAUUAAGCCAUUUUCCCUUCUCUCUCUAAAACCAGGUUCUUCAAAUCCUCUGCCUUCUCUCUAGCUUUACUCUCCAUUGAACCGUUCAAAUCUUACUUGGGUGCUGCCAAACUGUUCCUGGCGUCAAGGGCUUCACUUCGAACCGAUUACUUUCUUUGUCUCCUUCUAGUUCUGUAAGUGCAUCGCCGUGUGGGUCACUGUUAGGGCGUUUUCUGUAGACUGCACGGGACAACCUAGAGAGGAGAAUGAGGUCUCCCUAGAAAACGUCUUGGAAGGAAAUGAAGAUGCUGCUGCUUAGACUCUUUAGGAUUUCUGGGCCUGUUUAGCCCUUUUGGAACACUUUUAAAUUUAUGUCAUUUUGAGAUACUCUAGCACUUUCUGUUUCAAAGUCUUACUCAAUUUGUGGAUGACUGUAAUCCUCAUACUUUAAUUACUCUAACUGCUUUAUAGUAUUGUAUGUGGUGACGUCUUAUUUUAUAUGCAUGACGUAUAUAAUGGGGAUGUCACAUGAUCCACUUUGACCGAUC
This is a long non-coding RNA of Vigna radiata var. radiata (mung bean), 593 nucleotides long. RefSeq lists it as uncharacterized. The record is from RefSeq and is a predicted model, not a curated record. Lineage: Eukaryota; Viridiplantae; Streptophyta; Magnoliopsida; Fabales; Fabaceae. The transcript has 3 exons.